This 468-nucleotide ribosomal RNA is filed under the name uncultured bacterium. RNAcentral's name for it is "bacterial SSU rRNA". It matches the Rfam family "Bacterial small subunit ribosomal RNA", at positions 28 to 507 of the family's 1533-position model. The record is from RNAcentral.
GACGAACGCUUGCGGCGUGCCUAAGAAAUGCAAGUCGAGCGAGGUUUAGGCUUCGGCCGACGACCUAGCGGCGAACGGUCGCGUAACACGUAAGCAACCUGCCCUAAAGUUGGGGAUAGCCCGCCGAAAGGCGGAUUAAUACCGAAUGUGGAUAUGUAUUCGCAUGUAUAUAUAUCUGAAGCAGCGAUGCGCUUUAGGAUGGGCUUGCGGCCUAUCAGUUAGUUGGUGUGGGUAACGGCCUACCAAGACGACGACGGGUAGCUGGUCUGAGAGGAUGGUCAGCCGGAUUGGGACUGAGACACGGCCCAGACUCCUACGGGGGGCAGCAAUUAGGAAUCUUGCGCAAUGGGCGAAAGCCUGACGCAGCGACGCCGCGUGACUGAUGAAGUCUUUCGAGAUGUAAAGGUCUUUUGUUGGGGACGAAGGAAGUGACGGUACCCGACGAAUAAGCCCCGGGCUAACUACGUG